RNAcentral lists this ribosomal RNA (468 nucleotides) under uncultured bacterium. RNAcentral describes it as "partial 16S ribosomal RNA". It matches the Rfam family "Bacterial small subunit ribosomal RNA", at positions 28 to 507 of the family's 1533-position model. The record is from RNAcentral.
GACGAACGCUGGCGGCGUGCUUAACACAUGCAAGUCGAACGGAAAGGCCCUGCUUUUGUGGGGUGCUCGAGUGGCGAACGGGUGAGUAACACGUGAGUAACCUGCCCUUGACUUUGGGAUAACUUCAGGAAACUGGGGCUAAUACCUGAUAGGAGCUCCUGCUGCAUGGGGGGGGUUGGAAAGUUUCGGCGGUUGGGGGUGGACGCGCGGCUUGUCAGCUUGUUGGUGGGGGAGUGGCUUACCAAGGGUUUGACGGGUAGCCUGCCUGGGAGGGUGACCGGCCACAUUGGGACUACGGUACGGCCCAGACUCCUACGGGAGGCAGCGGGGGGAAAUCUUGCCCAAUGGGCGGAAGCCUGAUGCAGCAACGCCGCGUGCGGGAUGACGGCCUUCGGGUUGUAAACCGCUUUCGCCUGUGACGAAGCGUGAGUGACGGUAAUGGGUAAAGAAGCACCGGCUAACUACGUG